This 497-nucleotide ribosomal RNA is filed under the name uncultured bacterium. RNAcentral's name for it is "partial 16S ribosomal RNA". It matches the Rfam family "Bacterial small subunit ribosomal RNA", at positions 28 to 507 of the family's 1533-position model. The record is from RNAcentral.
GAUGAACGCUGGCGGCGUGCCUAAUACAUGCAGGUCGAGCGAACAGACGAGGAGCUUGCUCCUCUGACGUUAGCGGCGGACGGGUGAGUAACACGUGGAUAACCUACCUAUAAGACUGGGAUAACUUCGGGAAACCGGAGCUAAUACCGGAUAAUAUAUUGAACCGCAUGGUUCAAUAGUGAAAGACGGUUUUGCUGUCACUUAUAGAUGGAUCCGCGCCGCAUUAGCUAGUUGGUAAGGUAACGGCUUACCAAGGCAACGAUGCGUAGCCGACCUGAGAGGGUGAUCGGCCACACUGGAACUGAGACACGGUCCAGACUCCUACGGGAGGCAUCAUUAGGGAAUCUUCCGCAAUGGGCGAAAGCCUGACGGAGCAACGCCGCGUGAGUGAUGAAGGUCUUCGGAUCGUAAAACUCUGUUAUUAGGGAAGAACAAAUGUGUAAGUAACUAUGCACGUCUUGACGGUACCUAAUCAGAAAGCCACGGCUAACUACGUG